This 926-nucleotide ribosomal RNA is filed under the name uncultured archaeon. Its description in RNAcentral is "bacterial SSU rRNA". It matches the Rfam family "Archaeal small subunit ribosomal RNA", at positions 21 to 925 of the family's 1478-position model. The record is from RNAcentral.
ACCCCACUGCUAUCGAGAUGGGACUAAGGUAUGCUAGUCGAACGACCAGAACUAUGUCUGGAAGUGGCACACUGCUCAGUAACACGUAGCUAACCUACCCUUAGGACGUGGAUACCCCCGAGAAAUUGGGGUUAAUCCGCGAUAGAUGUAAUGUCCUGGAAUGGUAUUACGUCCAAAAGUAUUCCAUACAUGUUUGGAAUAUGCCUAAGGAUGGGGCUGCGGCCGAUCAGGCUGUUGGUGAGGUAAUGGCUCACCAAACCUUUGACCGGUACGGGCCAUGAGAGUGGUAGCCCGGAGAUGGACACUGAGACAAGGGUCCAGGCCCUAAGGGGCGCAGCAACCGCGAAACCUCCACAAUGCACUCACGUGCGAUGGGGCUAUCUCGAGUGCCACCUGAUGAAGGUGGCUUUUCCUAGGUCUUCAAAACCUUGGGAAUAAGAGGGGGGCAAGACUGGUGUCAGCCGCCGCGGUAACACCAGCCCCUCGAGUGGUGGGGAUGAUUAUUUGGCCUAAAGCGUCCGUAGCCGGCCGUGUAAGUCUCCCGUUAAAUCCAGCGUCUCAAGCGUUGGACUGCGGGAGAUACUGUACGGCUAGAGAGUGGGAGAGGUCAGCGGUAUUCUGGGGGGUAGGGGCGAAAUCCUUUGAUCCCCGGAGGACCACCAGUGGCGAAGGCUGCUGACUAGAACACGUCUGACGGUCAGGGACGAAAGCUGGGGUAGCGAACCGGAUUAGAUACCCGGGUAGUCCCAGCCGUAAACGAUGCGUGCUAGGUGGUUGGGUUGGCCACGCGCCACCCCAGUGCCGCAGGGAAGCCGUUAAGCAUGCCGCCUGGGAAGUACGAUCGCAAGAUUGAAACUUAAAGGAAUUGGCGGGGGAGCACCACCAGGCGUGAAGCCUGCGGUUUAAUUGGAGUCAACGCCGGGAAU